This 310-nucleotide ribosomal RNA is filed under the name uncultured bacterium. RNAcentral describes it as "partial 16S ribosomal RNA". It matches the Rfam family "Bacterial small subunit ribosomal RNA", at positions 503 to 807 of the family's 1533-position model. The record is from RNAcentral.
AAGAGACAGCAGUAGCCACGGUAAUACGGAGGGUGCAAGCGUUAAUCGGAAUUACUGGGCGUAAAGCGUGCGUAGGCGGUUCGUUAAGUCUGUUGUGAAAGCCCCGGGCUCAACCUGGGAAUGGCAAUGGAUACUGGCGAGCUAGAGUGUGUCAGAGGAUGGUGGAAUUCCCGGUGUAGCGGUGAAAUGCGUAGAGAUCGGGAGGAACAUCAGUGGCGAAGGCGGCCAUCUGGGACAACACUGACGCUGAGGCACGAAAGCGUGGGGAGCAAACAGGAUUAGAUACCCGCGUAGUCCCUGUCUCUUAUAC